This 86-nucleotide transfer RNA is filed under the name Anaerosolibacter carboniphilus. RNAcentral's name for it is "tRNA-OTHER". Lineage: Bacteria; Bacillati; Bacillota; Clostridia; Peptostreptococcales; Thermotaleaceae. The record is from RNAcentral.
GCUGAUGUUUAUUUUUACGAAACAUAUCGCACUCAAAAUCCGGCGGGGUAACACCCGUGAGGGUUCAAGUCCCUCCUUCGGCACCA